Long non-coding RNA from Alligator sinensis (Chinese alligator), 11481 nucleotides. RefSeq lists it as uncharacterized. The record is from RefSeq and is a predicted model, not a curated record. NCBI's taxonomy places the organism in Eukaryota, Metazoa, Chordata, Crocodylia, Alligatoridae. The transcript is spliced from 7 exons.
GGGGAGCCACUAUUUUGGGAAAAAGUUUUCUGGGCCGCUCGUCAACCCCAGCCAGCGGGAUGCUGAUCUUGUUUGCACCAGCGCGAAUGCCGCCUGGCUCCCUCGAUGUCCGGGCGAGCCCUCUGGCCGGACGCCCACGGAGCGAGGCUCGGAGUCUGGCCCGAAGCAUUUGAAAUAUGCCUCCCCGCUUGCUCAGAGCGUCAAUCCUUCCUUAAGUGGGCAGGAGAGCUGAGCCGCGGAGCUGCCCCGGGCGCGAUUGCAGCGUCCCGUGUCACUCCGAGGGGGGAAGGAGCCCUUUGCCUGGCCAGGGUAGCAGAUGCUGCAGAGUAAAACAAUGAUAAUAAUGGUGGUGAGAGCUAAAAAUAGGCUUUGUGUCGCUUCUGUCAUUGGCUCUGCCUCCAGCAUUUGGAAAUUGGUUUGGAAAACCUUGAUUUCUCUUCCAAAGGCCCCAGCACCACACUGCCACCACGUUUCAGCCACAGCAGGAAAAGUUUUCAUCCGAAGACUGCUGAAAUAAAUUAUAAAUAAAAAGUGCUUGGCAAGGAGAGGUGCACGGCAGCAGGCACAGCUGCCGCAGAUGUUUUCUUAUGUUGCCAAAAAGUCUGAUUUUCCACCAAAAAAGGUUUUGAUGGAAAACUCCUAAUGCAUCCAGCUUGCUGCGUGGUUGAAAGACACCGGCUUUGGAAACACCAUUGGGUCUCAAGACAUAGUUAGCUCUCCGGUUCAUAGGUAUAUGGUCUACCUCGACCGUUAUUGGCAGUGUUCGUUAUUUGUAUUACGGUGAUCUCGGGUGAAUGUGCACAUAGUUCAGGCAAUCACAUUUCUUCUGUAAUUGUCCUUGAUGUAGGUAUGAUUUGGGAUUGAGCAAAAGUGCAUCUUCUGGGAAGAGGCAGACAAGGUUCCUUGGGUGAAUUUGAUAUCUUUUAUUAGACCAACCCAAAUAGUUGGAGAAUAGUUAUUAAGCAAGCUUUCGGGUUCAAAAACCCUUCGUCAGGCUCAGGAAGCUUCAGCAGUUGGUGUGUCUUCUGGGAAGAGACAGCCCAGUGUGACUUGGGCCCUGCGAGCAGUAGAUACUAUACAGAAUAUCGUGGCAAGUUGCUCCAAUGGCUAAUUACGCCCCUCGUUAAAAUUUGUGUCGUUUCCAGUUUGAAUUUUAUUGCCUUCAGCUUCCAGCCCCUGGACCUUAGUUAUGUCCUUGUCUGGUAGAUGAAACGUUUUUUAAAACCGCUAUUCAGCAGAUGUGAAACAUGGGGAUGUUUCGGUCCAAAAGCAGAGGAUUUUGGAAAUGUUCCGAGCGAGUGAAAGGUGGGAUUCCCCCUGAAAACCUGCCUGGCAGCCUUCGGCCCUGUGGAAGCAGGAUAAAUAGCACAGAGGAACUAUUUUAACCAGAUUGGAAAAGGGAUUGGACAUGUUUUUGGAGGAAAGGGGUGUCUGUAUCUAGUAAGCAUGGGGGUGAGGGGCACGGCCUCUGCAUCAGACCUUCCUGGACCUUCGAUGCUGGAGGCUGCAAGUGGGAGAGAAGCCCUGGUAAGACCCUGCUCGCUGUCCCUGUCAGCCUCCGCUCCCUGCUGUCGUGUGUCAGGAGACCGGGCAAGCCGGACCAAGGGUCUGACCCAGUACACGGCAGCUCUGAUGUUCUUUGACUAAUUUCAUAUGUUUGUAUCUCGCUUUCUGAGUGAUUUAGGAACCAGCAUCCAGUGGCCAAGGGUGCCUUGGUCAUCCAUGAGCCCAAAUCCCACUGGUCUGCAGUGAGCACCUGGUGUGACCCCACCGGGAGGGAUGCACACGGUCCUGCGGUGUUUGCAAGCUCCGCUGUGUGCACCAGGGCAGCCGGGCGGUGGAGCAGGAGGGAGGGCGGCAGAUGGUCACAGGACUCCAGGGUUGGUGCAGACUUGGGGAGGGGUUGUUGCCUUGAUAUGCUGCCUCGGUUUCCUUUGCUUUCAGGGGCAAAAAGAUGGGCUGGUGAGGCUUACCGUUCCCUUAACUAAAUUGCUUUGUGCAGGACUUCGACUGAAUGCCACACGACACAUCUUUGCAUGUGCCUUCAGAGACGGCAGCCAGGCCGGCACGGGGGUGACACGCAGCCCCCACGACACACGUGUGUAUUGGUGUUGGUCCUUGCAUGUGCCUUCAGAGAUGGUGGCCAGGCUGACAUGGGGACGUGACACACCUGUAUGGGUGUGGGUUCAUGGAUGCUGCCAGCCUGAGAUGCCUGGUUUUAGCUAAUAUCGUGUCCCCACUGGUGAUGUAACUAAUAUCAAUAACUCAUCCUCGGACUUCAAACGUGGCCCAUGAGAUGCAUGGCGGGGGAUUGCAGUUCGUCUUAGCACACGGGUUGUCCAUCCUGUCCCUCCCUCGUGCCUCCCUGGGGGUUGUGCCUCCCUGUCCCUCCCUCGUGUCUGACAGCUCUGUUGCAGAGGCGGAUGUGGACGUGAGCUCUGGAUCCAGGCUCCGGAGAGAUGCAGCCCCUGCUCCCACCUCCAGCCUGAGCCCGAAGCAGAACGCAAAGUCCAGGCUGUGAAGGCCCAGCUCCCAUCAGCCCCUCGCCAGGUCUCUGCACCAGUGACUGGAUUAUGACUCACCUUGCCCUUGCCCCGCCAUUUGGAUGUACAGUCACAAUCAUGUGGUUUAAGCAGCAUCCCCCCCACCCACCCCAUGCAGGAUGCGGUGCUCUGUGAUGGGAACAGAUUAAACACCGUUAUCACGCUGAUGAGGUCACCCUGCAUCCCACAUAUUCCACUAGGAUCCUCCUGUCUCCCAGGGGAGUCUGGGGUUUAGGUGCCUGUUAUAGUCACCCUGACCUAGUCCUUCCCACAGAGCUGCAGGAAAAUCCCUGCUCAGCCCAAAGCGCAGAGGCUGGCCCUUUGAGCUAAAGGAGGAGCUUCACUAGCCGGUAGCUGUAGUAGGUUCUUAUCCUCAUCGCUGGCCAAGCUGCUGGAGGGGAGAGAUGGCCCAUCUGCAUAUUCAGUUUAGCCUUUGCACGUACUCGCCUGUGGGCACACACUAGGUGCAGAGGCCAGGGAGGGUGUUCAGCAAGUCCUAAUAUUGGGACAUACAGUUUCCAGGAUAUAGCACCUGAGAGAGAAUCCGCACACACCACACAUGCAUGCAUGCACACACAUGCACACACACAGGAACAUGUGCACACAUACACGCACAUGCAUGCCGAUAUAUAUGCAUACCCACACAGGUAUGGGCACACGUGCAUGUGCAUGUAUAUGUACACCCACGCAGUUAUGGGUGCAUGCAUGCAUACACGCACAUGCGUACAACUAUAUACCUACACCCACACACAGCCCAUACUGAGGACAGGAAAUCAGGGUUGCAUCAGCCUCACGAUUGUAAGGGGAGCGGCUGUAGGGUUGCGGCAGGGCCUGGUUUCCUCCUGUCCUGAAGGCCUGGUGCCCUGGGUAGCUGCAGCCCCGGCCUUGCCAGUUAAACCCAUUUCCCUUCUCUCAGGGACACAACGAGCACUGUCGUUUCCCGUAAGGACACACGGCAGGUUCAGAGUCACGCCCUCCCCUCCCCAGUCCGGCUGCUGCCUCAUGCAGGGCGUUGAGGGAUUGCCGCUGGACGUUCCCCGCGAAGCCAAGUGCGCACUUGGUAGCGAGCAAUAAACAUAACUCCUGUCUGUCCAAACACAGGCGUGCACCCGCUGCACCCGGCUCCUUCCUGGCUGCGCGGUGACACAGACCAGCUGCUCUGGGCAGGCCAGGCCGGCAGGACAUGGACAGGGAGAAAGGGGAGAUGGAGUCAGGGGCAGAAGGCAGAGAGGCGGCAGGGAGAUGAGUGGCACCAGGGAGCCAGCCCAGAUGGAGCCCCUCACAGCCGCGCGGUGAUGGAUGAGGAAGACUGGGCAUGGAGAAAAUGAAGCCUUCUUCUGUCCCUUUCUUACCUUGAGGCGGUCUGUGCUUUCAGGAUCCCUUUGUGAGAUGGUGGGAGCCCUUGGCAUGGUCAGUUGGGGUCUCGUGUCACCCAAGCCCUCUUCCAGGUGAGCUGGGUUGGUCACAUCCCAGCUCUGUGCCUCAGUUUCCCCAUCUGCAAAUGGCCCCUGUCUGUGCAACACUGCUCAGUGCGACUCCGCAUUGCAUCCAAAGCCCGUUGGGAUCAAUCGCUCUGUGCCUGGCCCUGGAGGCUGGGGUUUGGUGCUUUGCUGAAUCAGGGCCCAAGAGAGGGAUUUCUGCAUGGGGGAGAAAGGUGACCUGGAAGGAAGAAGGGGCCAGAGGAAGGAGCAAAGCCUUGUGACCCACUAGAGCAUAUGGGUUGGACAAUAUAUGCUGAUGGCAACAGUCCUGCUGAGCUCCACCAGGCCACGACUGCACCAUCAUCCAGAUCCCAGGAUGCCGGGGCAGGGGUGAUGGAGGAGGAGGACUGUUCACCUCCUGAGGACAUGAAGCCUAAUCCCAGUGCAUGGGAAAGCCAGUAGCAGGUCUCUUCUCUCGGGCCUUGGACAUGGGUGAUGGUGAGAGACUGCAGCACAGAUGCAAACUCCCUCCCGGGGAAAGGCUUUCCCUUCUCCGUGGGGCUGAGUCCCGCCAGCGCUCCCUGGAGCCAUCGGGCAUCUUGUGUGCAGAGCUCUCCCCUUUAGCGUUUUGGCCUAGAGGGAAUAUUCACAGCUGCUUUCAACGCCUCGACAGGAAAGAUUGGCUUUAAACUCCGGCAGCUCUCAGUCAGCGAAUGGUGCAGCCAUGGUAUUUAAUGCCCAACAUUUGGGUGGGAGAAACAUGUUUCCAGAGUGGUUCUCCUGCUCAGGGCAGAUCUGUGGCAAGGCAGACCGUGCCGGUGACUUGUUCGGAGAGCGGGGUGCUCUGCGUUGGGCUCUUGUGCUGCAGAAGUGGUGGCACAGGCUGGGAGACGGCCUGAUCCUCGUGCGGGUCCAGCCCUGGCUGGCCGGGCAUUGCCAUCACUGCUCUACUCCUAUGGCCAUGCAAGGGCAAGAGGUUUCCUUGGUCUCUAUGGCCCGGCCAGAUCUCUGCCUCUCUGCCAGGACUAUGAGCAAGAGGGGGCAGGCAGCCGUGGUAAUACAGAUGCAGACGUCAAACCCAUCAAAUCCUACCAAGGAGCCCCCAGUGGGAAUGGCUGCUAGUUUCUGUGGACACGGGACAGUUUAGACCAGGGGAUCUAGGGAUCGAAAGCAGCAGGGUCCAUUAUUCUGGGCUGUCCACUGUCAUGACCUUGGAUUUUCUAACCGUGGGCAUGACCGCAUGGCUCAAGCCGUACCGCUCAGGAAGGUGAUGGGGACACGGACGCUGCCUGUUUGCUUCAUAAAAAGGAGAGAUUCUCUGUUCCCAGCUCCAGGUUUCCUUUCUGCAGUGCAAUGGGGAUGCUCCAGUUUGAGAGCUGAACUGGAACCCAAGGGCUCGACCUGCGCUGGGCAAACCGAGGUAUUUGUCAUCGCCUCUGCAAGGGAAGCGCCUAAACCCAGGGCCCUCUCAUUUCAGCCCUUCAUCCCUCUCCGCUGGAGGAUUGGGUUGCCCAGAGCCCAGAACCGCUCAGCUUGGAGCAAUAGGUCACCGGUUGCGGACACCUUUCCUGACACUAAAACUCGAAAUGUCGACGGUGUUUCAAAUUUGGGGUGAACACCUUUCAGACUGCAUCGUUCAACGACACGUCCAUCGUGCUCCUCUCCAGUCCCGAGACGUCAGCCAGCCACCGAGCUGGCCGAACUUUCCAAGUGUGGGGGAGCUUCAAUGAGGAGACCCCCGUGGCCUACACCGGCCAGCAUCUCCCAGCCCAGACAAGCAGCUUGCCUCUGUCCAGUUGUUUUUCCCAGCUUUCCCUUGCAGAUCUCUCUCCUCCCAUCUGCCUGCUAAUAAAUUACAAAGUGUAAACAAUUAGCCAUAAACCAGGUCCAUCCCGCCCAGACCUCCUGCAGCCCUUGCUCUCACUCCUUGCCACGGCCUGUAGCCCCGGGGAGGAUUUUUUUUGCCCCCCGGCAGCUGGGACCAUUUUGUCCCAGUUCAGGAGAGCGAGCCGGGAGCUGGCAGGGCUCCAGCUCGGACAGUGCGGUGACACGGUCCUUUCCCAGAAGAUGAAUGGCGGCCAGUUUUUCUUAAUCCAGCCACUUCGGAAAAAUUGUUUGUUCUCAUCCUGUUUGAAACAGCUUCAAAGUGGCUCCAAGUCUAGACUGUGCCAAGAUAAAUUACAAACCCAAAGAGCUGAUAUAAACCAUGGGGGAACUAGUCAUUUGCCCUGAUGUAAUUAAAACAAGAUAGAAUAAUGUAUAAACCAGCGGAGAAAAUAUUAUUAAUCCAAAGUACCUUCCAGACUGGAAGAUCUGGAUUCAUUCACACUGGAUACAUUGCAAGUGUUCCUAAGUUUGCUAGCUAUGAGCCAAAAAUGCAGCAAAUACCUAAGGUGCCUUUUUUUUAUAUCGCAGUCACACUGGUGCCCCACUGUGCUACCUGCACUGCCAGAAUAGUGGGAACCGUGCCUUGCGUUGCAAUUUGUACCACUUUUAAUAGUUAAAGACCAGAGUUCAUCUUGCUUUGUCCCACUGGGGCUCUCUGAGAUGUAGACACUGAUCAGUUUGUUGGUUAAAACCUCAACUUAUUUGGAAAUUGUGCAACAUUUUACACUGACUUCCUUCCUGACCUCAAGGAACAAGGGACCUGUGCCCUGAAGCAUGAGGGCUGAUAAUAUCCCCUGUCGUUUUUUUAAAAUUCUUGCUUGUGUAACCGGAGUGGCCGUUCACAGUCAUGUCUCUCUAAUUGCGGGAUCUGAGUUAUUGGCCGCGGUGGCCCUGUAAAUCUACGUUCGUGUUUUCUGUUGCAAAGCUGCUGUCUGUCUGCUCUGAUCACUUGUAAAAUACUGGGGUGGAGGGGUUGUUUUCAGUAAGUCGCAGCUAAAUUGAGAGCUCUCGAUGAGAAAGGGAAGGCUUCUUUCUGCUGGAAGCUUGCACUGGUUUAAUUGUAGUGGGCUCAUUAAAGCAGUAAACCGCUCCCCUAGUGCAAAUGCAACUGUAUUGGUACCAGGAGGGGUUGUAUCAGUGGAGCUUCUCCCAGCUACACUGGGGAAUGACCAGAUGGGUGUAUCAGGGAUGUAUUUGGUAGCCGUGUUGGUCUGAGAUAAAAAGAAAUGCAAAACUCUAAAACUCUUGGUUUUAGAGAGAAUACCUUUUAUUAGACCAGCUAAGGAAUUGCAAAAAAAAAAUGAUCUUUCUUUGCAAGCUUCUGGGCGCACACACCCUUUUUCAGGCUGAGGACAAAUCCAAGAUGGUAACAAUCCUGACACCCCCAGGGAAAUGACUGGAUGGGUGGGUGUAGGACACUAAUGGAGCUGUGCUUCUACUAGCUUGUCCCAGCGGAGCUAAUUUGGUAAAAAAAAAAAAAAUCAAAAACAAAUCCAAAAAAAAAAAUCAUCCCCUGUCCCAGCCGGUUAGACCGGUAAGGCUUUCAAGCGUACACCAGGCUCGAGGGGGAAAUGUUUCUCUUUGCCCCCACCCCAGCAGUUGUGCUUAUCUGGGCAUCUCGGUGUGUUUGUUCACCAAGCUGGGCGCGUGCCUCCUUCCCAAGCAGAUCCCAGGACUUUUUCCAAACAGGACAUUAUCUUCAAGUGAAAACAAAGCCAAGGCAAGCUGCAAGCGCAGGCUUGUGCAGGCUGCAGUUAGUACUGGCCUUCUGCUGCCUGUUUGCAGGACAGGGGCUGGGGUGGGGGUGGUCCCCAUCUGUUUCUUCCUGCUUCUGCACUUCCCACGUUGUAUCCAGGUAGGUCAAGGGCUCAGCACCAGGCUCUGGUGGCAUCAGAGCUGAUCUGCCCCAGGCUGGAUCCUACGGAGCGGCUUGAGUCCUAUUGCAUGGAGCAGUCUAGCAGAGAGGAGAGAUCCCACUGCCAUCCCCCCGUGAGCAAAGCAGUCUCCAACCCACAUUGCAGACAUGCCUGGGCCUUUGGGAGGCUGCAGCAUUUGGCUUUCCAUGCUGCUAUUGGGUGUGCAGGGGUUUAGACAGGUUGCAAUCUCCUGGUAGCUCAGAAAGACCAAAGGAGAGUUAGGCCCUGGGUCUGGGCCAAGGCUGCCCUGCCUGACAAAGUGCACGCGUCCAGCAAGCAUGCACUGACCGUCCCACCCCUCCAUCCUCCUAGGAAACUUAUGUCAAGGCCAUCUGCAUGUGGCCGGGAACUGAGCACCUUGCUAAGGCUUAGCCAUCUCAUGGAGCAGGUCCGGUCUCUGGCAUUAGCUCCUGCUGGCUCCUGGAAAAGCUUUGAGCUUCCUCCUAGAGCAGGGGUGGGCAGUGUGUGGCAGGUGGUACGUGGCCAGAGCAGGAAAAAAAUCAGCACCUUGAGCAGCAGAAGGGGGUGGGAGUGGCACUUGGGGAUGGUGCAGGAGUUAAUCUGUGGCACGUCUUCCCAAAUCCUUGGCCCCACUGUCCUGGAGGAUGCCCCAGGGAGAGAGGGACCUCGGCAUGAUGCACCUCUGCCAGCGCAGCCCCUUUCACCCUGGCACCGCCAAUGCUGGUGUUGGGCACAAGCUCUUGUGCUGGGUCCCUGCCACAAGCCUGAAACCUGCUCUCGCCGCAUCCAGGUCACCCAGGAACCUAACCCCGAAACCCACCCCUGCCUUGGGGACCCUGCUUAGCUGCCCCAUGGUGGAGCAUUCUUCAGCCACAUAAAUUUUCGGCCCCGGGGGCUUUGAAGUUCCCGCCGAGGACAGUUGUUUUUGUUUGUAGUGUUGCUUAUCACUCCAAUGUGCCCUCCCCGUCUCCGUGCGGGCUGCACCCUCCAUCUCGCCCCCUGCUUCUGGCCAGGCAGGCUUUGCUGCCAGGGACCGCCGCACUGCCAGAGACCGCUGAUAAGGAUGAUGGAUGGGAAGAAGGCUGGCUCCACGCGGCCCAGGGCCUUCCUGGGAGCUCGAGACAGUCUCGCUGCUCCAAAGCCGGCUGGAAUGCUCCGGGGAGCGGGGGGUGGGGGGAAAGGAGAGGAAGGGGCCAAAAAACCUGCACCCACCCCUCCCAAGAUGAAUCCCAGAUGAGCUCAGCUGGGCUCUGAUAGCAGAUUUCAGCACCCAUCCCCCGCGGUGAUUUGCUCGCAUGUCGACAGGCAUCCCUGUCAACAUCGUGCACUCGCCCCGCGUGCUCCUCUGCACCCACGAUACCGCGGCGCGGUGACCUGGAGGCCGGCGUGAGAAGCCAGAGCUAGGCCAUGGCAUGUGGCAUCCCGCGCCAACGUGGCCUUCAUCCCCUUUGAGCGUCCGUGGUUUUGGGGCUGCCGUUGUCAUUUGUGAGCUGAGUUUUGCUGUUCUCAAAAACAAGGUCAUGUCAGACUCUCUCCCUUUCCCCCAGCUCUGCUCUGGUUCUGCGUGGAGGGAAGAAGUGCUGGCGCUUCUCGACUGUGAAGACGGGCCAUCUAGAAGCAGCUCUGGAUCCGUUCCCCUGCUCCCUGGGGACUGAACGAGGCCCGCGGCUUUUGUCGGCCACUGCCUGCAACCUGCCACCGGGUCCGUGGCUCCAGACAGGUGCCGGCACAGGAGACAUCCUGGUGAUGGUGACACAGAGGCCACAUCCGUGGUGAGACCAGACCCUUGCACGCGUGUCCUGCUCAGCACAUGCCAUGGCCCCACGUGUCCUGGACAGCUCUGGGCAUGUGCUCAGCUGGAAAUGCUGCCUGAUGCCUGAGUCAGGUGUGCCACGGGGGCAGGACGGACAUGCCAAAGUCCCGCGGUGCCGUGCCUGGGAUAGGGCACAUGCGUGGGAGCUGCAGGGCACAGCGGGACCAGCUGGGAAGCAGCAUUGGCAAGCAGACAGCAGUGCCCUUGACGACGCUGGGGCAGGCCCGGGAGCCUCGCGAGGCCUGGCGAGUCUGUCGGGAAGCCUGAGAGCUGGCAUAGAAACAGGAGGAGAGGGGCCGAGGAGGCUUCGAGGAAGAAGCGCAGCUUUUCUGCGCAGCACAGACAGCCCCUCGCCGGAGGACCGUCCGGGCAGGAGUUGGGCUUGCGGGGUGGCUGGCAGCACUGGGGAGACCAGAGCCCAAGGGAGCAGCAACCGUGCAUGGAGGUGUGCGCAGAGACAGCUCAGGAGAUGCUCCAAGCCUUGAUCUGCCUGUGUCUGUGUCUCCGGCGGAGCUGUAAUGCCCUAGAUUGCACCGGUGGGUGGAUUCUCUUCCCUAGCUGUGUGGCUUCUCUUUCACAGCUGAAGAAACCCUUCCCCAGGAGGUCUGAGAGCCAAACCCACAUUGCUGCUGCUCCAGCCAGCUCUGUAUAGGACCGCUGCAAAAUAAAUCAGUCCUCACCGCCCAGCCGGGCACUGACUGUUGGACGAGAAUAGCCUCAAAGUGCUCUUCAUACACAACCGUUCUCCAGUCUUUAUAGGAAGAGAGUUGAUGAGCUAAAAGGCAGAUGCAUUUAACCUCUUUUGUGCCCUGGAGAACACGUGCCCAGUGAACACGGUGUGCCCCUGAGUCAGGCUGAGGAUGGGGGUGCCAAAGGACACAAGGAUUUACUAACAUGGUCGGUGUCGUGACAAAAGCACCACGUGCAAAGUCUGUUGCAGUUUGGUGUGUCUGUGCGUGAUGGAGAAUAGCGUGCUCAUCCUCAGGUCUCCGAGCAGGUAAGUGUGACAAUCCCCAUCGUACUGCUAAAGUGAAGGGAGAUGAAGGGACUUGUCCAAGGGGAUCCUGCAGGUCAGUGGCAGAGCCAGGACUGGGCUGCAGGGCUCCUGGGUCCCAGUUCACUGCUGUCUGCCAGGCCACAGUGCAAGAUGGGCCUUAAGACUGGGUGCACCCACAGCUGACAAAGGUUGUGGGCUGUAUCCUGCACCUGACACCAGUGUUUAGGCCUCUGGUCAUGUCUUGAGUGUUUACACCAUCCCUGAUCCCCUUAGCCCUGCACAGCUGUCUCUCCCGGCCUGGUACAGACCCCCUCACCCAUCCUUCAUUGAGUCGAUUCGGACCCCCACAGCCAACUUUAGGUCAAAAAUAAAACUUUUAUGGCUAAAACACUCUCUGUGUAUCUGAAGCACCCCUGUCCCUCCCAACAAAGGGAAUGCAGCUCCUCAAUACUAGCACCAGAGCAGUUGUUCCCUCCGCAGCAGCCUCCACCAGAUAAACCGAUGACAACUUUGCUGGUUGCUUAAUAUACAUCACUAAAAAUAACAUCCCUGUAUUAGAGCGUGGGCAUCUCCAGCUUUGAAAAGCAACUUCCCGGCCUUGGCUGGGGGUGUAGGCGGCUACCAGAGACGACGGUCCUGUGACGGUGCUCAUUUCCACCGGCACCACUCCGAAACCAGAGGAAGCCCUUGAUGUCCCACAAGCCUCAUCUUUGUCCCUCGGAGAUGCUCAGUGCUGAGUUUGCUGUCGGGUGCCGGCACGUGUGGGAGAAGCGCAGAGACAGAGAGGUGAAGAGGUCUCCUCCUGUUCUCUGUAGUGUCAAGGAUAAUAAUGAAAACACAGGCAGGGCCCCUUCGUGCCUGCACGUGGCUUUAUCUUCAUCAGCCCUCCUGAAAGCUGAGUCAGGCUUGCUCCCAGGGGGAUUGCAGCUGCAUGGAGGUUGGC